Molecule: ribosomal RNA, 406 nt
Filed under: uncultured Glomeromycotina
Lineage: Eukaryota; Fungi; Glomeromycota
Description: SSU rRNA
Rfam family: Eukaryotic small subunit ribosomal RNA
Source: RNAcentral
AUUGGUUUCUCCCUUCUGACGAACCAAGAUGUCAUUAAUUUGGUGUCUUGGGGAAUCAGGACCGUUACUUUGACAAAAUUAGAGUGUUUAAAGCAGGCUCGCGCUUGAAUACAUUAGCAUGGAAUAAUGAAAUAGGACGUUUGAUUCUAUUUUGUUGGUUUCUAGGAUCGACGUAAUGAUUAAUAGGGAUAGUUGGGGGCAUUAGUAUUCAAUUGUCAGAGGUGAAAUUCUUGGAUUUAUUGAAGACUAACUACUGCGAAAGCAUUUGCCAAGGAUGUUUUCAUUAAUCAAGAACGAAAGUUAGGGGAUCGAAGACGAUCAGAUACCGUCGUAGUCUUAACCAUAAACUAUGCCGACUAGGGAUCGGAUGAUGUUAAUUUUUUAAUGACUCAUUCGGCGCCUUACG